This 497-nucleotide ribosomal RNA is filed under the name uncultured bacterium. RNAcentral's name for it is "partial 16S ribosomal RNA". It matches the Rfam family "Bacterial small subunit ribosomal RNA", at positions 28 to 507 of the family's 1533-position model. The record is from RNAcentral.
GAUGAACGCUGGCGGCGUGCCUAAUACAUGCAAGUCGAGCGAACGGACGAGAAGCUUGCUUCUCUGAUGUUAGCGGCGGACGGGUGAGUAACACGUGGAUAACCUACCUAUAAGACUGGGAUAACUUCGGGAAACCGGAGCUAAUACCGUAUAAUAUUUUGAACCGCAUGGUUCAAAAGUGAAAGACGGUCUUGCUGUCACUUAUAGAUGGAUCCGCGCUGCAUUAGCUAGUUGGUAAGGUAACGGCUUACCAAGGCAACGAUGCAUAGCCGACCUGAGAGGGUGAUCGGCCACACUGGAACUGAGACACGGUCCAGACUCCUACGGGAGGCAGCAGUAGGGAAUCUUCCGCAAUGGGCGAAAGCCUGACGGAGCAACGCCGCGUGAGUGAUGAAGGUCUUCGGAUCGUAAAGCUCUGUUAUUAGGGAAGAACAUAUGUGUAAGUAAAUGUGCACAUCUUGACGGUACCUAAUCAGAAAGCCACGGCUAACUACGUG